This 253-nucleotide ribosomal RNA is filed under the name uncultured prokaryote. Its description in RNAcentral is "partial 16S ribosomal RNA". It matches the Rfam family "Bacterial small subunit ribosomal RNA", at positions 524 to 776 of the family's 1533-position model. The record is from RNAcentral.
UACAGAGGUCCCGAGCGUUGUUCGGAUUUAUUGGGCGUAAAGCGCGCGUAGGCGGACCUGUAAGUCAGAUGUGAAAUCUCGGGGCUCAACCCCGAAACUGCGUCUGAAACUGCAGGUCUAGAAUCUUGGAGGGGGAAGGGGAAUUUCGCAUGUAGGGGUAAAAUCCGUAGAUAUGCGAAGGAACACCAGAGGCGAAGGCGCCUUCCUGGACAAGUAUUGACGCUGAGGCGCGAAAGCGUGGGGAUCAAACAGG